CCAUAUACAUUACUGAUCAACCACUGGUCUGAAGACCCCAUAAAAGAAAAGGUGAUCGACAUGCACCUAAAAGAGACGGAGAAAAUGGAACCUUAACAAGAGAGGGAUCCCAAAUUACAAGUAGGCCACCAGAUUCACCAACAAAAACUGAUAAAAGAAAAUCUAAGGGGGUAGAGCCCCAAAAAGAGCAAAGAAGAGACAUCAGGGGAGAGAAGGUUGGUUUCCUGAAGAACUAAAAUUUGCAACUUAUGGAUUAAAUCUCUUCUCCUCAAAGUUCCCCCAGGCCUCUAACAUUCUAUGAGAUGAGUUUCACGAGGACGUGAAGUCCUUACCCCCUGGUGACCAUAGUGACUCCGGAGGAGCCAACAAUAAGGGGUCAAAUGAAACCUUGGCAACUAGAGCUUCAGCCUCUUUCUCCGGACGAGAGCGAACGCGCUGUGGCAUAGGGAGGGCCGACCACUCUACCUCAGCAACAUCAAGAGCUUCCUCCACAACCUUAAGAGUGCCUUUGUACUGAAAUCCCAUAGCAUUGAUCAAAUGGCCCAUUUUCUCUCGAAUAACUUUCAUCUUCUCAUCUUUGCUAGGGAGCUAGUUGCGAGUGCGGGGAAGAAGAAUCGGAGGACUCAGUUAUGAGAAGGGGAGGGAUGUAAGGGGAGAAGGCGAUAAAGAGAGUUUUUGGGAGGUCAAAGGCUUUGGCCUCAGUAGAUAGCAUAGAGACACAAUAAUGUGGCCCCAUGCACGACUUUUAUCCCAUUCAAAGAAAGUCAUUUUGGCUGUCCCGUCGAGAAUCUCUAGAGCGAAAGUCAGAUGAAUAAUAUCAAUGGUUCUGUUCUUGGGAUAGUUCAGUGAUGGUGAUGCUUUGGGGGGCCUUGGAAGGGGGAGGAUUGACUGUUCGGUUGGCAAAGGAGACGGAAGCAGCAGAAAAACGAAAGAACCAGAGAAGAUUUUUUGGGGCUUCCUCUUUCGAAGAACUACUAUUUAAAGGAAAAAGGUGAGGACAUGACAUACGUACCUUUAGGAAGUGAGUCCCUCGGUGGGCGAUAGAUAGCAGCUUCUUGGGAUGCGAAGAAGGCAACCUCGUCAUUAGAUCAAACCUUGAAGGCUUGAGUGUUUCCACAUAGCACGAUGGCUUGGACCUUCUUAAAAUACCCACUGAAGAAUCUACCGGAUGGGCUGCAAAAGAUCUCGAAGCUCAUAACCUAGAGGAAUAUGAAUCGUCUCACCUGUAGGAUGAACAGGUGGAAGGCUGGAUUUG
RNAcentral lists this long non-coding RNA (1255 nucleotides) under Amborella trichopoda. RNAcentral's name for it is "long non-coding RNA (ATRI_LNC004604)". The record is from RNAcentral. Lineage: Eukaryota; Viridiplantae; Streptophyta; Magnoliopsida; Amborellales; Amborellaceae.